Molecule: ribosomal RNA, 912 nt
Filed under: uncultured bacterium
Lineage: Bacteria
Description: bacterial SSU rRNA
Rfam family: Bacterial small subunit ribosomal RNA
Source: RNAcentral
AGAGUUUGAUCAUGGCUCAGAAUGAACGCUGGCGGCGUGCCUAACACAUGCAAGUCGAGCGAGAAAGUCUCUUCGGAGAUGAGUAAAGCGGCGGACGGUUGAGUAACACGUGAGAAUCUGCCCUUUAGUGAAGAAUACCUCCGAGAAAUCGGAGUUAAUACUGCAUACGUCCCUUCGGGGAGAAAGGUGGCCUCUUUGCUGCCGCUAAAGGAUGAGCUUGCGGGCUAUCAGCUUGUUGGUGAGGUAAAGGCUUACCAAGGCUAUGACGGCUAGCCGGCCUGAGAGGGUGUUCGGCCAGACUGGAACUUAGACACGGUCCAGACUCCUACGGGAGGCAGCAGUGAGGAAUCUUGCGCAAUGGGCGAAAGCCUGACGCAGCGACGCCGCGUGGGGGAUGAAGGUCUUUGGAUUGUAAACUCCUGUUGAGUGGGAAGAAACUUCUAUUGUUAAUACCAGUAGAAACUGACGGUACCAUUAGAGAAAGCACCGGCUAACUACGUGCCAGCAGCCGCGGUAAUACGUAGGGUGCGAGCGUUAUUCGGAAUUACUGGGCGUACAGGGUGCGUAGACGGCUUAUUAAGUCGAUUGUUAAAUAUCCCGGCCUAACUGGGAAAAUGCGGUCGAUACUGAUAGGCUAGAGGGUGGAAGAGAGAAGUGGAAUUCUCGGAGUAGCGGUAAAAUGCGUAGAUAUCGAGAGGAACACCGAUGGCGAAGGCAGCUUCUUGGUCCAUUCCUGACGUUGAGGCACGAAAGCGUGGGGAGCAAACAGGAUUAGAUACCCUGCUAGUCCACGCUGUAAACGAUGAUCACUAGACGUUGGUUUUGCUUAGCAGAAUCAGUGUCGCAGCUAACGCGUUAAGUGAUCCGCCUGGGGACUACGGUCGCAAGACUAAAACUCAAAUGAAUUGACGG